GGAUAUUAUAACAGAACAUGGUCAAAAUGUUAAAAUGUUAAAAUGUUCAUAAAUGACCAGCAUGGUCAAAUAAUAAUAAUCAUAGUAGUUGUCGAGGGUGCAACAAGCACGUCCGGUGAACAGGUCAGGGUUCCAUAGCCGCAGGCAGAACAGUUGAAACUGGAGCAGCAGCACGGCCAGGUGGACUGGGGACAGCAAGGAGUCAUCAUGCCAGGUAGUCCUGAGGCAUGGUCCUAGGGCUCAGGUCCUCCGAAAGAAAGAAAGAAAGAAAGAAAGAAAGAAAGAAAGAAAGAAAGAAAGAAAGAAAGAGAGAAUUAGAGAGAGCAUACUUAAAUUCACACAGGACACUGCAUAAGACAGGAGAAAUACUCCAGAUAUAACAGACUGACCCUAGCCCCCCGC
RNAcentral lists this long non-coding RNA (402 nucleotides) under Salmo salar (Atlantic salmon). Its description in RNAcentral is "lncRNA (ENSSSAG00000090218.1)". Lineage: Eukaryota; Metazoa; Chordata; Actinopteri; Salmoniformes; Salmonidae. The record is from RNAcentral.